ACCUGGCUGGUUCAGUUGGAAGAGCAUGUGACUCUUAAUCUCAGGGUCAUGAGUUCGAGCCCCAUGCUAGGUG
This 73-nucleotide transfer RNA is filed under the name Canis lupus familiaris (dog). Its description in RNAcentral is "tRNA-Lys (CTT) (tRNA-Lys-CTT-13-1)". It matches the Rfam family "tRNA". From Rfam's summary of the family: Transfer RNA (tRNA) molecules are approximately 80 nucleotides in length. The record is from Rfam by way of RNAcentral. Lineage: Eukaryota; Metazoa; Chordata; Mammalia; Carnivora; Canidae.